UCACUUAAAAUUGGAAAGUGUGAGUCUC
This 28-nucleotide non-coding RNA is filed under the name Rattus norvegicus (Norway rat). Lineage: Eukaryota; Metazoa; Chordata; Mammalia; Rodentia; Muridae. The record is from RNAcentral.